This 162-nucleotide unclassified non-coding RNA is filed under the name soil metagenome. RNAcentral's name for it is "partial internal transcribed spacer 1". The record is from RNAcentral.
AAGAGACGUUGCCCUUCGGGGUAUACCUCCCACCCUUUGUUUAUUAUACCUUUGUUGCUUUGGCAGGCCCGUCCUCGGACCACCGGCUUCUGCUGGUCAGUGCCCGCCAGAGGACCCUAAAACUCUGUUUGUUAAUAUUGUCUGAGUACUAUAUAAUAGUUA